Prinia subflava (tawny-flanked prinia) is the source of this 5507-nucleotide RNA transcript. It is a transcript of the gene named zinc finger protein 239-like, with no coding region annotated. NCBI's taxonomy places the organism in Eukaryota, Metazoa, Chordata, Aves, Passeriformes, Cisticolidae. The transcript has 3 exons. The record is from RefSeq and is a predicted model, not a curated record.
CACCGAGAGGAGGGGCAGCGGGAGAGGGUCGGUGUUCCACGGCGAGCCCGCUGAGGCCGCAGCUCCGCUGGGCGCGACCGCAUCGCAUUGCCCGGCAGCCCGCAGGUGACGGGGAGGGGAAGCUCGCCCCAAAUCUAUCCCGGGAUCCCCGGAAUUUUCAUUGCCAAACUUUUACUGAAUGGAGGAAGAGAAGGGUGUGAGGAAGAGGAAGUUUUCACGGGACCCCCAGGCAGAUACAUUCCAACCACCAAUGCCGAUCCUGCAAUGCUUUCGCGAUGACUGAUGGACGGCUGCCUAGGCAAAUCCAGGAAUUCCUUUAGCCCAACCAAACAUAGCUUUCGCUGUGUCUUAAUGGCAAGCACCCAGACCAGACCAGAAAAUAAAGAACCUUACCUCUCACCAGGGGUCGUUGUGAGCGGCAAGGGUCGCGGCGCCGAUGGGCUCCCCCCGAGAAAUCACCCGGUGCCGGCUGGAGCGUGAUCGGGUAGCAGGGUCCUGGCUGCACCCACAAGGUCCCGUCCUGAGUCACCAAAAUGUUAGCGUAGGAAAACAUAUAACCACACGAAGGCAAUCAUAUGUGGUUCUUUAUUAGAGCAUGCGGGACACAGGGGCAGUGGGACACCCAAAUCUUGUGCCCAAGGAUACCAAGUUACUUUGUGAUUUUAUAGCUUCAAGUUACACAUAUGUUAACUAACAUCCACCCCUAGCUACUGGCUCCCCUAAUCCUUAGUUACUAUCUUAAAUCAUACCUAUGCUUUACCCUGAGUUAUGCUUGAUUUGGUUAAGAUAAUGCUUCCCAAUUAUCUCCCAGGCUGGAGUCACACUUGAUUCAGUUAAAACAAUAGUAUGAUGCUAGUUGCAGUAAGCUGACAUUUGUUCCAAGCCCAGGCUGUGUCAGGAUUCAGCCCGUGCGUCUUCUAGCUCCCCAUCACCUGCAGUUAGCCGCUUGCCAUGCAGAAAUUAUUAUAUUUUUUUUAACCCUCCACUAUCAAUGCGACAAGAACCGUCAGUGAAAAGAGCAUAGCAUGUUUCUUCUGCUGGCAGCUGAUUAUACAGUGGAGUUUCUUUGGCACGUGUCACUUGCUCUUGUUCCUCUUCAUCGAUGAGAUCAAAUUUUCACCUUCUGGCCAGUUGGUAAUUACUUCCAAAAUCCCAGGGCGAUUCAGGUUUCCAGUUCCGGCGUGCUGAGUGAUGAGGGCAAUCCAUUUGCUCCAUGUGGCAUUGGUAGCGUGGUUGGUAGAGGGAACCUUUCCUUUAAACAUCCACCCCAGCACUGGUAGUCGGGGUGCCAGGAGGAGUUGUGCUUCUGUGCCAAUCACCUCCGAGGCGGCUUGAACUCCUUCAUAGGCAGCCAAGAUUUCUUUCUCUGUUGGAGUGUAGUUGGCUUUGGACCCUCUGUAACUUCGGCUCCAGAAUCUCAGUGGUCGGCCUCGAGUCUCACCAGGCACCUUCUGCCAAAGGCUCCAGGACAGGCCAUGGUUCCCGGCUGCAGAGUAGAGCACGUUCUUCACAUCUGGUCCCGUCCUGACUGGGCCAAGGGCUACCGCAUGAGUGAUCUCCUGCUUGAUCUGGGCAAAGGCUUGCUGCUGUUCAUGGCCCCAGUGGAAAUCAUUCUUCUUGUGGGUAACCAGGUAGAGAGGGCUCACAAUCUGGCUGUACUCAGGAAUGUGCAUUCUCCAAAAGCUUAUGGCGCCUCGGAAAGCCUGUGUUUCCUUCUUGCUGGUCAGUGGAGACAUCACAGUGAUCUUAUUGAUGACCUCAGUGGGAAUCUGACAUCACCCAUCUUCCCACUGUACUCCCAGGAACUGGAUCUCCUUGGCAGGUCCCUUGACUUUGCUCUUUUGGAUGGCAAAAUCAGCUUCCAGGAGAAUCUGGAUGAUCUUUCCUCCUUUCUCAAACACUUCCCUUGCCAUGUUCCCACACACAAUGAUGUCAUCAAUGUAUGUAGCUGUUCUGGAGCCUCGCCCUUUUCCAGUGCAGCCUGGAUCAGUCCAUGGCAGAUGGUGGGACUGUGCUUCCACCCCUGGGGCAGUCAGUUCCCGGUGUACUGCACGCCUCUUCAGGUGAAAGCAAACUGAGGCCUGCAUUCUGCAGCCAGAGGAAUGGAGAAAAAUGCAUUGGCAAUGUCAAUAGUACCACUUCCCUGCCUUGGACUCCAGCUCGUACUGGAGUUCCAGCAUGUCUGGCACAGCGGCACUCAGUGGUGGAGUCACUUCAUUCAAGCCACGAUAGUCCACAGUCAGUCUCCAUUCUCCGUCAGACUUGCGCACAGGCCAAAUGGAGCUGUUGAAGGGUGAGUGGGUUUUGACAACUACCCCUUGGCUCUCCAGCUCUCGGAUCAUCUUGUGGAUGGGGAUCACGGCAUCUCGAUUCGUCUGAUACUGCCGACGAUGCACCGUCGAGGUGGCAACAGGUACUCGUUGCUCUUGUACCUUCAGGAGUACUACUGCAGAUAAUCCAGGCAAGGUGUUCAAUUUCUUAAUGCCCUCUGCCUCCACAGCAGCUAUUCCAGAAGCCCACUUGAGUCUCUUAGGGUCUUUGUAAUAGCCAUUCCUGAGAAAGUCAAUGCCCAGAAUACUUGGAGCCUUUGGGCUAGUCACAAUUGGAUGUUUCUGCCACUCCUUCCCAGUCAGGCUCACCUUGGCUUCCAACAGAGUCAAUUCUUGUGAUCCCCCCAUCACCCCGGCAAUGGAAAUAGGUUCUGCUCCCUCAUGUUCUGAUGGCAUUAGGGUACACUGAGAACCGGUGUCAACCAAAGCUUCAUAUUUCUGUGGCUCUGAUGUACCAGGCCAUAGAACCCACACAGUCCAAAAGACUCGGUUUUCCUGUGCCUCUUCCUGGCUAGAGGCAGGGCCCUUCUAGCACUGGUUACUACUCUCUUCCUGUGCAUACAUAGUAGAGGUUCCUUCAAGGGUAUCUGACAGAGCAUCCUCAUUUCUGUAAUACCUGACAGCCUGGUCAUGGGAGGCUGAGGCUACCUUCAUUCUAGUGGAACCCCCUCAGUUAGUGUUUCUCUCUGAGCUCACGCACCUGUGCUACUAGAACAGAAGUGGGUUUCCUAUCCCACCUUCCCAUGUCUUCCCCAUGGUCACGCAGGAAGGACCACAGGUCAGCUCAUGAGGUGUACCCUCUCUCUCUAGCUGAGGGACGUUCGGCUCUGGCUCUGGGCCUGUGACCCACACCGGUGCCACAUGGGAACUGUUCCUCCUCAUCUCCUCUCUUACCUCCCUUAUCUCCUCUUGGAGUUCCUUAACCAUGGCAGAGACAUGAGUCUGCAUUGGGCUACUGAUCAUACUGUCAAAAUUUCUAAGCUUGCUGGCUAUAGAACCUACAGUCUCUCGGUUGGUAUCAGUAUUAAUCGUUGCCAUGAAUGUGGUGUAUUCAGAUGGCCCUUUAUUUGCUAGAUUCCACAACAUUUGGCCUGUGCACCUGACUUUGUCAGGGUCAUUGUCAUGCUGUCCACCCCUCCCAAAGAGUACCUCCACUUUUGCCACUUCUCUCAGCUGUUGGAACCCUGUUGGAGUCCAUGUUUCCAUGGAUCCUACACAGAGAGUGAGAAGUUCAGGGAUUGAAUUAAAACCUUUAGAAAAAUUACAAUAUAUAAAGCCACACACACAUAAAGUAGAAAUCUAAGCCUCAGUUUUAAGCUUCACAUGCCCUAAGUGCCUAGUUGUUAGUGUAGAAGUACAGAGCUUCAGGCCUAGUGAUAGAGUUUAGACAUGACAAAAAUAGAGUAGAGUACUGUUUAUAAUUUUUGGUAUGAAUUUUGCGCAAAUAAGAUAAAGUUUUUUACGUACAUUAAUAUAGAGUUUUUCACAUAAUAAGAUAGAAUUUUUACACACAAUAAGAUAGAACGUUUACGCUAGCAAGAUAGAGUUUUUGCACUGAUAGAUAUGCUAUACGCAUAGGUUUUUGAUACUGCUUUUCAUAGUUUUUCAUAGUUUUACAAACUUAGAAAAUUGCACCUAGACUGGGUAGUGUGUAGAUAAAGAUAUGAAUAUGCAUUUUUAACUUAUGGAUAAAAAGCCUCUGGAUUGGAAGUGAAGGUAUCGAUUGAUCAACCUGAUCUAUUGAUCCAACCUCCACCUUCUGCAGCUUGAGGAAGGACCUCUGCCAGGGAGCCAAAUGGGAUUCUAAAGGUACCAUCUAUUGUCGCUCAGAUCAGGGCCCUGGGGUCUUGUCCCUUCCCUUUCCCCCUUGUGGCGUUUGCCCCCGAACUCUGUUUGGGGCUGCCGGGGACUCUGCGAGGGUUUGGGACCCCAGGACCCCUUCUUGCCUCUGUGACCCCGGGACCCCUUCUUACCUCUGCGGCCCCAGGACUCCCUUCCUGUAACUGCGAUCCCGUGACUGGGAACUCUACAGGGUUCAGGACCCCCCCAUUGCCACUGUGGCCGGGAACUCUGUCUGGUUCGGGAUCCCUCACUGCCUUCGCGACCCUGUGGCCGGGGAUUUUGUGUGGGUUCAGAAUCUAGGGACCUUUUCUGUCGCUGUGAUCCCUGCGGCCAGGACCCCUGUCUGGGAUCUGUGAUCUCGUGAUCCCUUUCUGAUAUAGCGACCUCACGGCUGGAAACCCUGCUUGGGGUCAGGAGAUUGGAGGGUGUUUUACCUAGAGGCUGUUUAGACUUCUAUGCUUUGCUUAUUGCUUUACUAGAGUUUUGCUUGUUAAGAAUUCUGUGCUUUAGUUAUUGUUUUACUUAGAAUUUGCUUGCUAAGGCUUUAUGCUUAUUGUGACAUUGUAAGACCGCUCUUUAGGACUCUCGCACCUUCAGAUACAUGCUUUUAUAUAAUAAACCAUUCUGCUUAGAUCCUAAAAUGUUCUAAGACCUUUAAGACCUAUAACCCGUGUGGGAAAUAUGGUUAUUUAAUUCAUGUUCUAUAAAUAAUUAUAGAUUGGGAACUGUGAUAUAUAUUAUAUAAAGGUAUGUGUGUGACUGCUCAACCCGCACGUUUCACGAACUUCUGGAAAGCACCUCCCUGAUCUUCUGGGUUCCAAAAAUGGAAGGUGAGAACGACUUGCCCCUGCCUACGUGCAGCUCAACUCAUCGGGACUCGCAACGGUCAAACGCUACGUGCCAGCAAAGACGUGCCAGCGAGGACUUACACCGGUCAUCACACACCUCUACGGCAGUUACUCAAAGCAAGGACUAACUCUGGACAUUAGCAUUUGAAUGUGCCCGGGGACCCUUUCGGGAUUUAAUGUAAAUAAAGUUAAUGGUCGAUGAUUAGAGAAACAAUGGGAGGAAAGUUGCCGAGGGGGAAACUAAGUGUAUUUAAGUUGGGUCUUUAGGUGGGCAAGUUCGUGAACCCAGCUAGAGACACCGGCUGCCAGGUCCUGUGUCUCUGGGGUCACCCUUGGCUCUACUUUUCCCGGGAGAACUUCGGUCAAGUAAGUUUGCUGUUCGUGGGGUUCGUAUUGUUUUGUUUUUAUUGUUUGAAAUUGUUAUAAUUUGAUUCUAAAUUUUGUGAUUUGGAUAUUAAUAAACCAAACUAUUGAAUUUGGCAAUAAA